Molecule: RNA transcript, 2816 nt
Organism: Quercus robur (English oak)
Lineage: Eukaryota; Viridiplantae; Streptophyta; Magnoliopsida; Fagales; Fagaceae
Gene name: F-box protein At3g07870-like
Exons: 3
Source: RefSeq, a predicted model, not a curated record
CACUAAUAUCCCUGUAUUUGUCAAAUAAGGACUCUAGAAUAGGGGCACAGUUCCGAGAGACCAUGCAGUCCCUGACUUCUUCAACUUUUGAUUCUAAUUCCAAAAAUGUCAUAUUCAAAAUAUCCUCAUCUGAAUGUACUAAAUCUUCAUGAUUCUUUAAAAUUAGUAUGAAUGUCUCAUCUGAAUUUAACAAAUCUUGAAGAAUACUAUCCCUAUUCCCAGAGUCAGCUUUAGACAUCAGUAUGAAUGCCUCAUCUGAAUUUACCAAACCUUCAAGAAUACUAUCCCUAUUCCUAGAGUCAGCUUUAGACAUUAUCUCUCCAACCAAAUUUUCAAUAGCAGCUUCUGCAUCUUCGAAUUCCCUUUUCUCAUCUUCAUUAAAAGAGUUAAUUUUUUCUUUCAAGGUCAAGCCUUUUUCUGAUAUCUUCUCAACAACAUUGUCCCUAUCCACAAUUCUCAACUCCACAUCUCCACGCUUCCCGCUUAGCAAAAGUAACACCUGGUAAAAUUAAGCCAUGUCAAUGAAUUGGUGUACAAAGACAACAUAUUAAGGUAAAGCAAGACGAUGAAAUAAGUAAUAGAACUGUGCUUGUUGGGGACUAGACUCAAGUGACCGGUUAUCUUGUUAUACUAAUCAUCUAUGUUUUAUUUGUUUUAACCAUUCUUUCCAAUUUCUUCUUAUGGCUAUUGAGUUAUCUACAUCCUAAGCAAGAACACACCAAAAAGGCCAUGGUGCCUGUGUCAAACUGGACAGGCCUAGGGCAUGGUUGCUUGAGUGUCUGUUGUGAAAAAUCUUAUUUUGAGAUCUAUAUGUUCUAAAAGCUCUAAUUCCCCUUGAAAAACUCUGAUUUAGGCCCCAAGCAAUUAAUGCAAUGAAAUUAAUGAAUUUAUUGCACAAUUUAACUAGAUUUUCCACUCAUAAGUAAAUAUUAUUAUAUUCAUCACAAAUGUCAAAUACUGAAUCUAAAGUAGUAUACAAUCAGCACAAAGAUUUUAGUAAAGAAAUGGAAAACCAAUGAAGAACCUCUUCAAUUUUAAAAACUAUUUUGGGGAUCCAAUCAUUUUAGAAAUCCACUAUAAGGAAACAGUCACAACAGUCUUACCAUAUGGAUAGGGAGGCUCUUGCAUGGUUUCAAGAUGCUAAAGAAUAAGGCCUAUUCACCAGUUGGGACUUAGGAGGCCUUUGUUAGGGCAUUGCAAAUAAGCUUUGGAAGUACAGCCUAUGAUGAUCCAAUGGAAGCCCUUACAAGGCUUAGGCAGACCAGCUUUUAAUGGGCAAUUUGAAGCACUAUCAAAUAGGAUUAAGGGGCUGUCAGAAAAGCACAAGUUGUUUUCCCGUUGGAUUAAGGAUGAGAUUAGACUUCUUGUGAGAAUGCUAAACCCACUGAAUCUUAAUGCUGCUUUGGAUUAGCAAAAAUUCAAGAGUACCUCUUAAGUCUUAACUGGUUGGAAAACUUUCAAAAAUUCUCAAGAUUCAAGUAGGCCUUCCAUCUUGGGAUCAUUUAAGGUUGUACAAGAUUGGACCAACUUAAGCCUAAACUUCUUGUCCGCACGAUCCCUCCAGCUCAAAUGGAUGAAAGAAGGAAGAAAGGGCUCUGUUAUCAUUGUGAUGAGAAAUGGCAGCCUGGACAUAAGUAAUGGAAGGGCUACAAACUCACUCAAAACAUUUGCAAGGGUUUCACCUUGAGGAAAUUAUUGAUGCAUAACUAAUAGAGAUCGCAGUUACUAUUGCAGAGCAAGAGGUAACAGUGGAUGCAAUUGAAAUCAAAUUAUACGCAUUAAUUGGAAACCCAUCUUCAAUUACCAAGAGAAUGUUAGAAAAGAUUAAAGGCGAGUGGGCUAUUAUCCUCAUUGACAUUGGUAGCACUCAUAACUUCCUAGAGUUAUCAAUCUUGGAAGCAUUGAGGCUGUCAGUAACAUCCAAGAAAGGGUCUGAAGUUAAGUUGGCUAAUAUGGUUGUGAUCAUGACAAAGGGAGCUUGUGCUGAUGUUUAAGUCAUAAUGCAAGGCCAUUUAUACAUGGUAACAAGGGCUUUACAUGCAAAGUGGGGCUAGGCCAAUUGAAUCAAGCCAACUUACAUCCAGCCAGGCAUGGAAGCAUUGAGGUUGUCAGUAACAUCCAAGAAAGGGUUUGAAGUUAAGUUGGCUAAUAUGGUUGUGAUCAUGACAAAGGGAGCUUGUGCUGAUGUUUAAGUCAUAAUGCAAGGCCAUUUAUACAUGGUAACAAAGGCUUUACAUGUAAAGUGGGACUAGGCCAAUUGAAUCAAGUCAACUUACAUCCAGCCAGGCAUGAAUUCAAGAAAAGACCAUCCCAAUUAAAUUUAAGUUCAAUUGGAGUAAGGAAUCAAAGAAAAUUUGCGCCAAAUCCAAGUCCAAUUCGGAUUAGGAUUCCAGACUGCACAUCAGUUAGUAUUUUUGGCAUAACUUUCGGCUCAGAUGUCCAAUCGAGAUGAUUCAAGUUGGGCUGGAAUGAUAACUUAAAGGGCUACAACUUUGUAGUUUACCAAAAGUCCAAAUUCUGACGUUAAAUGGGCCAAAAUAGUCGGUUAAGUGAAACCUAAAAAUAUGGGAUUUUCUCCAAACGAGAAUUCAACUUGUAAUAGGAUUCCUUAACCUAUUUAAAGGCUCUUUAGGGCAAAAUUCAGGGAAGCUAGUGCUAGGGCUGAGGGGACUGAACAUAUAGAGGCUGCGGCUAGGAUUGGUGCGUAGGAGUAGAACUUGUUCUUUUUGUCUAUGGCUUGUCUCUAGCACUGUGACUAUUUCUUUCUCUAUUUUAUUUGUUUAGUUUAAUGGUUAGUAUUUUAUUUUUAUGUUUUC